RNAcentral lists this transfer RNA (78 nucleotides) under Pandoraea sp. LA3. Its description in RNAcentral is "tRNA-Arg". It matches the Rfam family "tRNA". From Rfam's summary of the family: Transfer RNA (tRNA) molecules are approximately 80 nucleotides in length. Their secondary structure includes four short double-helical elements and three loops (D, anti-codon, and T loops). Lineage: Bacteria; Pseudomonadati; Pseudomonadota; Betaproteobacteria; Burkholderiales; Burkholderiaceae. RNAcentral also lists the same sequence under 1 other name. The record is from RNAcentral.
AGGGACGUUAGCUUAGAUGGAUAGAGCAACAGCCUUCUAAGCUGUAGGCCGCAGGUUCGACUCCAGCAGUCUCUUCAA